GUUGUUAUAACCCCCUAGUCACUGUUGUUUUAACUCCCUAGUCACUGUUGUUAUAACCCACUAGUCACUAGCUCUGUUGUAGUAGUACAGUAGUCUAGGAAAUCCCAGACCUAGUGUAUGUCGGAACUUUGUCAAUGUAGGAGGCAACCGGUCUGCCUAGGGUGACUAGUAGUGUCGUUAUCUGGUUAUAGGCUAUUUACAAAAUCCCCCCUCAUCCCUUCCCUCCUCCAUUCAACUUCUUGCUCCUUUCCCUGACAGCACCCCGCUAUAGAGAUAGAUAGACGACUCAUCUUGGUGGAAUCCCUCAAUAGAAAUGCCAAUGUUAAAAAAGGUCAUAUCCAUCUAGUCCUCUAUCUCUACGUGCGCCCUCUUAUUCUCCUUGUCCUCUCCGUGGGUGAUGAUGUAACACAGGUUCUUGUAGUCAAGGUUACCGGCCACAUCCAGGUGAAAGUUUUGGAGCAUCUGGUUGACCUGCAAAGAGGAGUACGAACACACACAUCUCUACUCUGUUAGUCCCAAUACUACCUCUAGGGGGAGCUGUCUUCCAAGGAGUUUUUCCUAGCCACUGUGCUUCUGCCUCUGCAUUGCUGGCUCUUUGGGGUUUUAUGCUGAAUUUUGAGCUGAAUUUGAGCUGUCCAUGAACAGCUAAACAUUAAGUUAACUGAGCUGUCUUCUGGGUCAUAAACAUUAGGUUAACUGAGCUGUCUACUGGGUCAUAAACAGCUAAACAUUAGGUUAACUGAGCUGUCUACUGGGUUAUAAACAUUAGGUUAACUGAGCUGUCUGCUUUGUUAUAAACAGCUAAACAUUAGGUUAACUGAGCUGUUUGCUCGGUUAUAAACAUUAGGUUAACUGAGCUGUCUGCUUUGUUAUAAACAGCUAAACAUUAGAUUAACUGAGCUGUCUGCUCGGUUAUAAACAUUAGGUUAACUGAGCUGUCUACUGGGUCAUUAACAGCUAAACAUUAGGUUAACUGAGCUGUCUACUGGGUUAUAAACAUUAGGUUAACUGAGCUGUCUACUGGGUCAUAAACAGCUAAACAUUAGGUUAACUGAGCUGUCUACUGGGUUAUAAACUUUAGGUUAACUGAGCUGUCUAGUGGGUUAUAAACAGCUAAACAUUAGGUUAACUGAGCUGUCUACUGGGUCAUAAACAGCUAAACAUUAGGUUAACUGAGCUGUCUACUGGGUCAUAAACAGCUAAACAUUAGGUUAACUGAGCUGUCUACUGGGUCAUAAACAGCUAAACAUUAGGUUAACUGAGCUGUCUACUGGGUCAUAAACAGCUAAACAUUAGGUUAACCGUACAAAGACAUACUGCUACUUGGUGAAUUCAUUUUUUUUUUAUAGUUAAACAUUUUAAAAAGUUAUCAGUUUUAGAUAAAACUAUACAAAAUAUAUUCAUGUCACCAAAUAAUUUAUUAAAACACACUGUUUUGUAAUGAAGGUCUACAUUAGCCUCAACAGCACUCUGUAGGGUAGCACCAUGCUGUAGCCGGAGGACAGCUAGCUUCUGUCCUCCUCUAUGUAGAUUGACUUUAAUACAAAACCUAGGAGGCUCGUGGUUCUCACCCCCUUCCAUAGACCUACAAAGUAAAUAUGACAACUUCCGAAGGACGCCCUCCAACCUAUCAGAGCUCUUGCGGAUUGAACUGACAUGUUGUCCGCCCAAUCAAAGGAUCAGAGAAUGAAUAUAUUACUGAAAGCAUAAGCUACAGCUAGCUAGCACUGCAGGAAAUAUAAUGUGUUGAGUAAUUGACUCAAAGAUAGAGAAAGACAAUAGUUGAACAGUUUAAUUUCUUCAAAAAUGAUGGAGAAGCAAGAGAGAGAGAGAGUUAGCUAUAUUUGAUUGUAUUUUUUAAAACUUUCACUUUCAUUUAGCUAGCAAAUGCAGCUAGCUAGUUUAGCCUACUCCAACACUCGGCUAAAACAGAGGGGGAUGUUAUGUUAGCUAGCUGGCUAUGGCUACCCAACAGAGGGGGAUGUUAUGUUAGCUAGCUGACUAUGGCUACCCAACAGAGGGGGAUGUUAUGUUAGCUAGCUGGCUGGCUAUGGCUACCCAACAGAGGGGGAUGUUAUGUUAGCUAGCUGGCUAUGGCUACCCAACAGAGGGGGAUGUUAUGUUAGCUAGCUGGCUGGCUAUGGCUACCCAACAGAGGGGGAUGUUAUGUUAGCUAGCUGGCUAUGGCUACCCAACAGAGGGGGAUGUUAUGUUAGCUAGCUGGCUAAGGCUAUCCAACACUGGAACACUUCCAAGUCAAGGUAAGCUUUUGGUUUUAUUCAUUUAUUGCCACCAGGGCCCUAUGGUGUAUCUGCUAAACUGCUUUCUGACUGUACACUGUACUGCAUGAUUGUAGUGGAUUUACUAACACGUUAGUUCUAGUGGCUAUGUUGACAAUAAUCACAUUUUAUUAGUCACAUACACAUUAUUAGCAUAUAUUCUAGAGAAAAUGUGUGGGCAGAACUGAAAAAGAGUGUGCGAGCAAGGAGGCCUACAAACCUGACUCAGCUACACCAGCUCUGCCAGGAGGAAUUGACCAAAAUUCACCCAACUUAUAGUGGGAAACUUGUGGAAGGCUACCCAAAACGUUUGACCCAAGUUAAACAAUUUAAAGGCAAUGCUACCAAAUACUAAUUGAGUUUAUGUAAACUUUUGACCCACUGGGAAUGUGAUGAAAGAAAUAAAAGCUGAAAUAAAUCACUCUACUAUUAUUCUGACAUUUCACAUUCUUAAAAUAAAGUUGUGAUCCUAACUCACCUAAGACAGGGAAUUUUUACUAGGAUUAAAUGUCAGGAAUUGUGAAAAACUGAGUUUAAAUGUAUUUGGCUAAGGUGUGUGUAAACUUCCAACUUGUGCGUGCCAACAACUGUAUCCCAGUCCGCGAUCAAAACAAUCUUGAAGCAUGGAUUCUGAUUGGCCAGACCAGCAUUGAACAGACGGUUAUUUCCUGUUUGAGUUUCUGCCUAUAGGAAGGGAGCAAAAUGGAGGUGUGAUCUGAUUUGCCAAAGGAAUGACGGUGGAGGGCCUUGUAUGCAUCCCGGAAGGGGGAGUAGCAGUGGUCGACCGUUCCGUUUUAGCAGCGUGUGUACUACAAUCAAUGUGUUGGUAGAACUUUGGUAGCGUUUUCCUCAAACUUGCUUUGUUAAAAUCCCCAGUUAUAAUAAAUGCAGUCUCGGGAUAUGUGGUUUCCAGUUUGCACAGUAUAGUUCCUUGGGGGCUGUUGUGGUAUCAGCUUGAGGGGGAACAUACACGGCCGUGACUGUAAACAAAGAGAAUUCUCUUAGGAGGUAAUACGGUCGGCAUUUGAUUGUGAGGUAUUCUAAGUCGGGUGAACAAAAGCAGUAGGGUAAAGUACUUAAGUAAAAAAUACUUUUUAAAGUACUACUUAAUUUGUUUUUUGGAGUAUCUGUAUUUAACUUUACUAUUUAUAUUUUUUACUACUUUUACUUUUACUCCACUACAUUCCUAAAGAAAAUAUUGUACUUUUUACUUAAUGUUUUCCCUGACACCCAAAAAUAUUUAUUACAUUUUGAAUGGUUAGCAGGACAGAAAAAUUGUCUAAUUCACACAAGAGAACAUCCCUGGUAAUCCCUACUGCCUCUGAUCUGGUGGACUCACCAAGUGUUGGAGCAUGCCCCUGGCUUUCUGUAAAUAAAAGAAAAAAUAAAAUUUUGCCACCUGGUUUGCUUCAUAUAAGCAAUUUGAAAAGAUGAAUACUUUACCUUUAACUUUU
Oncorhynchus tshawytscha (Chinook salmon) is the source of this 3733-nucleotide long non-coding RNA. The record is from Ensembl. Lineage: Eukaryota; Metazoa; Chordata; Actinopteri; Salmoniformes; Salmonidae.